UAGAGGAAGUAAAAGUCGUAACAAGGUCUCCGUUGGUGAACCAGCGGAGGGAUCAUUACAGGACUCGCAAGACUCCCGUAACCAUCGUGAACCUACAAACCGUUGCCUCGGCGGGUGCACCGCGGGCGCUGCUCCUCCUCGGGGGGGCGGCCGCCCGGGGCGCAUCCCAAGCCCGCCGGCGGCCCACCAACUCUUUGUUUCCAUACCCCUGAGAAUCUCCGAGUACAAAACACAAACGAAUCAAAACUUUCAACAACGGAUCUCUUGGUUCUGGCAUCGAUGAAGAACGCAGCGAAAUGCGAUAAGUAAUGUGAAUUGCAGAAUUCAGUGAACCAUCGAAUCUUUGAACGCACAUUGCGCCCGCCGGUAUUCCGGCGGGCAUGCCUGUCCGAGCGUCAUUGCAACCCUCAGGUCCCGCGCCUGGUGUUGGGGCCCUGCGCGGCAGGCCCCGAAAGACAGCGGCGGGUGCGUCCCGGAACCGAACGCAGUAGCUAUACCUCGUUCCGGCCCGGUGGCGUACGCCAGCCGUAAAACGCUCUCCAGCUUUUUACCAAAGUUGACCUCGGAUCAGGUAGGAAUACCCGCUGAACUUAA
This 594-nucleotide unclassified non-coding RNA is filed under the name Sordariomycetes sp. 3 KO-2013. Its description in RNAcentral is "partial contains ITS1, 5.8S rRNA and ITS2". The stretch from base 245 to 398 matches the Rfam family "5.8S ribosomal RNA". The record is from RNAcentral. Lineage: Eukaryota; Fungi; Ascomycota; Sordariomycetes.